AGUCGAACGGUAGCAGGCCUUCGGGCGCUGACGAGUGGCGGACGGGUGCGUAAUGCAUAGGAAUCUGCCUAUUAGUGGGGGAUAACGUGGGGAAACUCACGCUAAUACCGCAUAUGAUCUACGGAUGAAAGCUGGGGACCUUCGGGCCUGGCGCUAAUAGAUGAGCCUAUGUCGGAUUAGCUAGUUGGUAGGGUAAAGGCCUACCAAGGCGACGAUCCGUAGCUGGUCUGAGAGGAUGAUCAGCCACACUGGGACUGAGACACGGCCCAGACUCCUACGGGAGGCAGCAGUGGGGAAUAUUGGACAAUGGGCGCAAGCCUGAUCCAGCAAUACCGCGUGUGUGAAGAAGGCCUGAGGGUUGUAAAGCACUUUCAAUAGGAAGGAAUACCUACCGGCCAAUACCCGGUAGACUGACAUUACCUAUACAAGAAGCACCGGCUAACUCCGUGCCAGCAGCUGCGGUAAUACGGAGGGUGCAAGCGUUAAUCGGAAUUACUGGGCGUAAAGCGUGCGUAGGCGGUUAUUUAAGUCAGAUGUGAAAGCCCUGGGCUUAACCUGGGAACUGCAUUUGAUACUGGAUGACUAGAGUUGAGUAGAGGAGAGUGGAAUUUCAGGUGUAGCGGUGAAAUGCGUAGAGAUCUGAAGGAACACCAGUGGCGAAGGCGGCUCUCUGGACUCAAACUGACGCUGAGGUACGAAAGCGUGGGUAGCAAACAGGAUUAGAUACCCUGGUAGUCCACGCCGUAAACGAUGUCAACUAACCGUUGGGUUCUUAAAGAACUUAGUGGUGGAGCUAACGUAUUAAGUUGACCGCCUGGGGAGUACGGCCGCAAGGCUAAAACUCAAAUGAAUUGACGGGGGCCCGCACAAGCGGUGGAGCAUGUGGUUUAAUUCGAUGCAACGCGAAGAACCUUACCUACCCUUGACAUGUCGCGAUCUUUCAGAGAUGAGAGAGUGCCUUCGGGAACGCGACACAGGUGCUGCAUGCUGUCGUCAGCUCGUGUCGUGAAGAUGUUGGGUAGUCCCGUAACGAGCGCACCCUUAUCCU
This 1048-nucleotide ribosomal RNA is filed under the name uncultured bacterium. Its description in RNAcentral is "bacterial SSU rRNA". It matches the Rfam family "Bacterial small subunit ribosomal RNA", at positions 60 to 1111 of the family's 1533-position model. The record is from RNAcentral.